UCAAAUGUUGUUUUAUGGCAUACUAAAUUAUGGAUUGUUUCUGGCUAGGUGGUUUAAAUAAUCAUCAGAUUUUGAUUAGAUUGGCUGCAGUGUGCCAACAUUUUCAAGAGCAGAAAUGCAACAGCUAAAAAUGGAGGAAAAACUGAAGCUGGCUUCACUGAAACCGGAGAAAGAAAAACCAAGCCAACCCAAUCUUUGAAGGUUUGUUCAGCAGUGUUAUUGUGAGUGUUGAAAUCCAGAGACCAAGCGUGAUGCUUUUGCAGGGUUGCAGCAUAGAGCACUCAUUAGAUCAUGUGCUUUUUUUGAUUUUUAUUAAUGGGAAAAUCGGGUAACCUUGCUAACGUAGCAAUAUGGCGUGUGUCUUCUUCGGUCAUUAGGUCGUCAUUGACUAAAUUCCACCUAUCCGCCAUUUGUUUCCCAGCCACUGACUGAAAACGUAUUUCAAUAUUCAUCACGGGUAAUAAUACGGUGUCUGAUACAUUUUCAGUCAUCAAAACUAAUCGGUAAUUCUAGUUUUGAACUUGAAAUUUCUUGAAUUUGCUGAAUGUUACAUUUAUCUGUGAGUUUACAGGUUUCACUGGCCAUUUGAUGUUCAAGCUGUAAAUGGAGAUGCUGCCCAAUAAAGAGAUGGCAAAAGGUGUGCUGCUGCUGUCCUUCCUUAUCACACUGGAUUUAUCAGUGAUGUUGUGAAACCAGAAUUGCCAGAUGACGGCCCAGACCUAUUCCUUACGGCGUAUUUUCUUUCCUCACGUUUUCUUCAUAAGAAUGUUAUUUGUGUGGUAACCUAGCCUAUAAUUUCUACUUGGAAAUUACAGCUGAUCAUGUGGCCUGAGCCUGAGCAUCUGUACCAUGAUCUGUACAUUUUGCCAAGAUGUCUUCUCUUUUUCCUGUACGUACCGGCUGUACGUUUUGUAAGAAACACUUCAGAACAAAUCAGUCUGGUAAAGUCUGAGCUUCGUCAUUGCUGCCCAAUGAACACAUGGAUUUUAUGCAGCCAGCUGGAAAAGGUUGUUCCUCUUGCUAACUGUACUGCUAUGUGUUUCGUCAAAUGAAGAAACAUAAACAACUGAAGUUUAUCGUGUAUGUUCGCGUAGUUUCUGUCCGCUGUGGUACGUUGUUGCAGCCUAUGCUGGUGAUAGAUCUUUCUGCAUCAAAUUCCCUUGGUGCUGGUGUCGUGUUACCGAAGUUGCAUCAUUAUUUUGUUAAAUUAUCAUCGUGACUAUUGCAGUUUACCGUUAAUAAGUUCAGAAGCAACAAAAAAGAAAUUCGGGAUGUUUAUGUCAAACAAAUAAUAAACAUUUUUUCGGGAUUGGGAAAGGGAAGUGGAGGAUGUUGGAGGGGGGAUAUUUCAAGUUUGGA
Molecule: RNA transcript, 1359 nt
Organism: Daphnia pulicaria
Lineage: Eukaryota; Metazoa; Arthropoda; Branchiopoda; Diplostraca; Daphniidae
Exons: 7
Source: RefSeq, a predicted model, not a curated record